This 31-nucleotide non-coding RNA is filed under the name Mus musculus (house mouse). The record is from RNAcentral. Lineage: Eukaryota; Metazoa; Chordata; Mammalia; Rodentia; Muridae.
UACAGGUACCAAUCAUCAUGCCUUGCUUCGA